Molecule: long non-coding RNA, 3263 nt
Filed under: Amborella trichopoda
Lineage: Eukaryota; Viridiplantae; Streptophyta; Magnoliopsida; Amborellales; Amborellaceae
Description: long non-coding RNA (ATRI_LNC001977)
Source: RNAcentral
UCGUGCCCCUCAAAUGGACGGUCCACUUCAAAAAGCUUCUCUCCUGGAGAGCAUCUUCUGCAGCGUGCCCUUAAGACAAGCUUCUUACUCAGGGCCACUAACUACACUCAAAGUGCUCUCUCUCUCUCUAGUUGAAGCACACGCCUCUCUUUCUCUUAUCGCGCCCCUCUCCGUGAACCUGAAGCACGCUAGCCCCCUCUGUGCCCUAUCUCUCUCUGCAACUGUCCCUUUCCCUGCAGCUUGCCCCCAAGACAAACUUCUUACUCAGGGCCACUAACUACACUCAAAACGGUCUCUCUCUCUCUCUCUCAUUGUGGCCCUCUCUGUGAAUCUGAAGCAUGCCCCUCUCUCUCUCUCUCUCUCAUCGGAAGCCUGCCCCUCUCUGUGAAAUCUGAAGCACGCCAUUUCAGGUAUGGAUGCUAUUUUACUUGUGCUUCUUAUGGAUGCCAUUUUACCAUGGCCAUUUUACAUUUUACUGAUGCUUCUUAUGGAUGCCAUUUUAUCAAGGCCAUUUUACAUUUUACUGAUGCUUUUUAUGAAUGCCAUUUUACCACGAUUUCUUAUGGAUGAGUGAUUUCAUUUUAGUGAUGCUUUCUUAUGGAUGAGUGAUGACAUUUUACUAAUGCUUGCUUAUGGAUGAGUGAUGUUUCCUUAUGAUCUGUACAUAUUAAUUGAUCACAUAAGUUUUUGCCACAUUUGGGGGUUUCGAUUUUUCAGUGGUUGAAUGUCUUACACAGGGCAACAAAACUACGAUCCUAGAACUUUCUUUAGAAAUUGGUAUCUCACAUAAUUUUUGGCCUCAUUUGGGGUUUCGGUUUUUCGGUGCUUGAAUGUCUUACACAUAGCAACAAAACUAUGAGCAUAAAAAUUUCUUUAGGAAUUGGUAUUUAACAUAAUUUUUUGCCACAUUUGGGGAUUUCGAUUUUUCAGUGCUUGAAUGUCUUAUACAUAACAACAAAACUAUGAUCAUAGAAAUUUCUUUAGAAAUUGGUAUCUCACUUAAUUUUUUGCCACAUUUGGGGGUUUCGAUUUUUAGUGCCUGAAUGUAUUACACAGAGCAACAAAACUAUGGUCAUAGAAAUUAUUUAGAAAUUGGUAUCUCACUUAAUUUUUUGCCACACUUGGGGCUUUCAAUUUUUCAGUGCUUGAAUUUCUUACACAUAGCAAUAAAACUAUGAUCAUAGAAAUUUCUUUAGAAAUUGAUAUCUCACUUAAUUUUUUGCCACAUUUGGGGGUCUUGGUUUUUUCAGUGAUUGAAUGUGUUACACAGAGCAACAAGCCUAUGAGCAUAGAAAGCCUAUAAAAAUUGGCAUCUCACAUAAUUUUUUGCCACAAUUGGGGAUAUUGGUUUUUCAGUGAUUGAAUGUAUUACACAGAGCAACAAAACUAUGAGCAUAGAAAUUCUGUAGAAAUUGGUAUCCCACAUAAUUUUUUGCCAUAGUUGGGGGUCUUGGUUUUUCAGUGAUUGAAUGUGUUAUACAGAGCAACAGAACUAUGAUUAUAGAUCUGUUUUUUUGGGUUUUUUGGAUGAGUGAUGCUAGAUAGAUCUGUUUUUUUGGAUGAGUGAUGCUAGCUUAAGGACUUUGUUUCGGUUUUUCUUUUAUGGCACGAGCCUUGACAAACUAGAUUUGGGGGUCUGUGUAACACAAUCAGUCUGUCAAUAAUGAGGCUUGUUUUGGAUGAAUUAUGCUUAGUUUGGGGAUUUGUAAAAUUGUAUGUUUUGGGCCUGAUUUUGUUCUUAGAUGAAUGAUGCUUAGUUUGUGGUCUGCAAAAUUGUAUGAGCUCAAAACCAUUUUACAAAAUGAAUCAGGCUUUGUUUGGGGUUUUUUGAUGGUACGAGCCUUGACAAAGUUGAUUUGGGGGUCUGUCAAAAUGAAUCAGUCUGUAAAAAAUUAGGGGUUUUUUGGAUGAAUCAUGCUUAGUUUUGGGGUAUGUAAAUUGUAUUUCUGCAGGUUGUGGUAUUUUUUUGUUUUUCAUGGAUAUAUUUAGAUACAUUGGAGUUAAUCUCCAUGUCAAGUACUCACAAGAAAAGCUCUUUGUGUGAGUUUUUUUUUUUUUUUCUAUUGGUUACUUUAGUAUUUGAUUGUGCUAUAUAAGAGAAAUUCAUUUCCGUUGGAUGCUGGUUUAGACCUUUGAAGUACAUAGCAUGUCAUCAGUUUCCACAAGUGACGGAGGAUAUCAAUGGCGAACUUGUCCACAAUGCAAUUUACAAUGCAAAUUAAGUAAAUCAAGCUCUCGAUCUAACCUUGGAAGAAUGUACUAUUGGUGUGCAAGUUGUACACUUUUUCAAUAAUACGAUGCAUAUAUUGAAGGGAUGAAUUACAAUAUAAACUUGAGGUGUCGUGAUAUACACCAGAACAAUCAGUCAGAAGAAUCGCAAGAGGGUAUUAUGGUCAAGCUUGAACCGAUGGUCAUUCAACAACAAAUUAUUGAUACUUUAGGGCAGUGGUUUAAAAAGCGGAUCGGUGACCUGAAUCGGGCACCUCAAAAACCGAUUCGGAUCGGGGAAUCGGCUGAAUCGGUCAAAUUAAAGCUUCAAAAAAAUCCGAAAAAAUUAUUAAAAUUCAUUAGAAAUGUUGUUUUUUAGGAAUCAGUAUGAAAUGAGGGUACUACAUUAUUAACUUUCAUUUUUUUCAUCAAUUUGUGAAUAUUGAGAUGCUCUUUCCCUGUAUAAAUUAAGUAUUAAAUUUGCAUCACAUAAAAGAAAAAUCAUAGAAUUAUCAUGGAUAAAAUAUAUAAUUAUACAUGAACUAUAAUAAAAAGUAGACUAAAUCAAUGAAAGAAUGGCCAUUAAAAUCUCAUUUUGGCGAAAAACCCUAAUCUGCUAAAAAAACCUAAAUUAUUACAGCCUAACUAACUAUAAUCCAAAAUCAUUACAACCUAACUAAUUAUAAUAUUAUAUAUUGAAAUUAUAAUUAUUAGUUUACAUUUUAUAAUUAUUUUAUUAGAUAAAUAAUAACAAAUUAAAAAUAUUUUAUAAUAUUAUUUAAUUUAAAAUGUAUUAUUGACAACUGUAAGAAAAAUAGUACAUUACAUGAUUUAUAAUGUAAAAAUUCAUAAAUAAAAUAAAUUAUUUGGUUAUCAAUGUAAAAAUUAAUAAAAUGCGUACAAAUUUUGAAAAUAACACGUUAAUUUAUUAUAUUCCCAAGGGGGAACAAAAAUUAGCUCAAGAAGGGAUAAACUAUUAUAUUGCUCAAGGGGGGAUUCAAACUUGAGAAGUCAAAACAAAUAACAUUAAUGAUAACCAUCAUGCCUCUUUAGCA